Notothenia coriiceps (black rockcod) is the source of this 121-nucleotide long non-coding RNA. RefSeq lists it as uncharacterized. The record is from RefSeq and is a predicted model, not a curated record. The transcript is spliced from 3 exons. NCBI's taxonomy places the organism in Eukaryota, Metazoa, Chordata, Actinopteri, Perciformes, Nototheniidae.
CAUUUGAAGCUUUGAGCACUCACAAAAUCCAUUGGUUACCUUGAUCUAACAUGCCAGAGGCUGUUCACCUUGGAGACCUGCUGCGGAUAUGGGUACUGAAUGGGGAGGGCUUUUAAACUUU